RNAcentral lists this long non-coding RNA (525 nucleotides) under Nicotiana tabacum (common tobacco). RNAcentral's name for it is "long non-coding RNA (NTAB_LNC002997)". Lineage: Eukaryota; Viridiplantae; Streptophyta; Magnoliopsida; Solanales; Solanaceae. The record is from RNAcentral.
ACCGCUCUCUACAAGCUCUUCUUUGGCUUCUCUCUUCUCACUCUUCUUGUUCUUAUCCGUACCAGGCAGACAGCUCCUCUUUGUUCUCAACUUUGCGGUUUAUAGAUUUUACACCUUCUUCAGGUGAGCGUUCUAUUAGCACUGUUUCUAUUAAUUUAGUUUGCAUUAUUUGGGCCCCUUUGAUUCUGAUUUCCUUUAUCACGUAUUUCCAAUACUACGGAGUAUUAUCUUUUGCAAUUUUCUAUUAUUUGAAUUUUGUGUUCCCAUCGCUGCUUUCUGUUGCUCUGUAAGUGUUUCGGAAAGUUCUUCAAUGAAUUAGGAUUUCCAUAAGAUUUUCUAAUUAUCUUUGGGUUUAAUUUGUGGCUUCAUGACUUGGGAAGAGAAGUGGCUGGUUGGACCUGCUUUGGAUUUCGAUAUGAAAAGGUAAUACACGGACGAACUAUGCCCUCUCUUUAACUUGGGGUGUUUAAAAAAGAAUGAAAAACUUUUGAAACUUCUAAUCUUAAACCGAUCAUAACAUUCGUG